This 868-nucleotide ribosomal RNA is filed under the name Gammarus sp. 4 KH-2020. RNAcentral describes it as "partial 28S ribosomal RNA". It matches the Rfam family "Eukaryotic large subunit ribosomal RNA", at positions 147 to 625 of the family's 3401-position model. Lineage: Eukaryota; Metazoa; Arthropoda; Malacostraca; Amphipoda; Gammaridae. The record is from RNAcentral.
AGGUCGUAGUCAAACCCCCACAGCCACGCGAACUCUAAGUCAGCCACGAAUAGGCUAUCCCAACUAACGGCGGGAAAGACUCCACGGAGGGUGUAAGACCCGUGUGGGCGAGUGUCAAAGCUGUGUGGGCUCGGCCUUUUUUCCCUGAGAGUCGCGUUGCUUGAGCAUGCAGCGCUAAGCAGGUCGUAAACUCGAUCUAAGGCUAAAUAUCUCCACAGAACCGAUAGCGAACAAGUACCGUGAGGGAAAGUUGAAAAGCACUCUGGAGAGAGAGUCAAAAGACCGUGAAACCGCUCAGAGUAUAAGCCCAUGGCAGCUUGGAAGGCAUAUCGCUAGCGGGGCAUCGCACUUCCUUCGCGGGGAGUCGGUGUUACCUUGCUUCUGUUGUGGCUCGUUAUGGUAGGGGGGUCAAGUCCACAUCCCGCCGUCGUGUGGGGAGUUCUUGGGCGUGUCGUGGUUUUGCGGUUGACUUCGGUUGGCCGUAGGGCUCUUCGCGCUUGGGGCUUCUUUAGACACGGACGUUCAGACUCAGAGGCAAGACGCGAUAAACAGCCCACCACGGCACGUUGUGAGGUCACCCUCAGGCUCAGCUUUUGAUUGUGGUCCUUGACGCCGAGCAAGCACUAUGCGUGUCGCAGAUGUUCCUAACCUGACAACGCUUGUCGGACAGUGGAACGACACGCGCUCAACAGUCAGGACCGGGCAAUGACAGAGUUCUGGUUCGAUCCUCUUGCAACGAGCCGGCUUCUGGCCGAAUUCCGAUGCUCAGGUCUCCCGCAUGUGCCGCGGGGAGAUCGCCUUGACGGUCUGGACCUUCACAAGUCCUCUCAGUCGGGCAACGGAAAAAGUGGUGGUAAAGUCCAAGCCC